UCUUCAGCUAGAUCCCAGGAGAGGGAGGAGGAUAUAGGAUUAAGAGGCCUGAAUUUGGAAUCAGGAAAACCUCGUCUAUUAAUCCUGACUCAGAGACCUUUCCACUUCUGUGGUUCUGGACAAAUCUCGUGACUGCCCUAAAUCUUGAUUUUCUCAUCUGUAAAAUGGCUGGAGCUGUUUAAGAACCUUGGGAGCUACUCAGAGGACAGAUCCUGCAGGCCUUUCGGGCGAUCCCCUUGUUUCUGAGGGAGAUUCCUGGUGUCUGGUAACCCUCUAGUCUUGGCAAGAAGGAGGAGUCCUGGUUUCAGGAGGAAAGUAAUGCCUGCCUAGGGCUGAAGCAGAUGAUCUAACUAGGUUCCAGAACUCCACAACUUGCCCUAGGCAAUCCACCCAUGGAUAAUGAAGAGUUGCCUCUACUUUACAUCAUAAACUUAGUUACGUGAUCACAAUCUUAGAGACCCGACCUAUUCCCUGGGAAUGUUCACUUCCUUCUCUGCCAAUUUCUUGUGGUUUCUCUAUUGCCACUGAAACACCACUUGGCACCUUUUUCUUCUGUCCUUUUCCUGCGGAUUUCUCAGUACCUGUCAGCUUCCCACACUCCAAGGAUGGAAGGAAGUGCUGCUAACCUACAAACACAGAAAAGCAGAGCCCAGAGGGACUUUAGAUCAUAGGAGAUAGAAUGAGAAGAGAACUUGAAGCACAGAAUGACAACAUGGAGAGCUGGAGCCAGAAGGGAACUUGGAACCAGAAAAUGUUAGAUCUCUAAGAAUGUGGAAUGUCAUCGAUGGAGAGUCCCCAGCUCUCCAAGACACUGAACACACAAGCUCCUCCGGAAAGAAGCAGAGUCGGCAUCAUAAGGAAGGCAAACAGCUGGGGAAUUCCUUUCCCAGCACUCUUUGGGGAGAAGUGCUGGAGGCUGCCUGCAUAACGUUAUCCUCUGCUUGGCAGGAUCUGAGCUCAGGACCUGAGCACACGGAUUCCCGGCUGUCUUUUGGAUGCAAACAGAGUUUCCAAUGUAGAAAACAUCUUGCUGUGGGGAGAAGGUCAGGCUUGCUCUUACCUCCUCCCUGACACAACCCCAACUUGAAGGCGGGAGAGCUGGGUCUUUUCCUGUUUCCCCAUGGUUUCCAGAAUUCCAGAUCUGGGCUCUUUCCCAGAAGACUCCAUAGGCUCCAUUUCAGCCUCCUUGGACAGCACUGUAAAUUGCUAAUUAUGCUAUGGUUGAUGGCCCACAUGACUGGGAAUUAGAUCUGAAUUCUCAUCACAGAUCUGCCACCUCCUACAUGACACCUGUCCCGAUUCUUUUUCUUUUAAAUUUAAUUUUUAUCAUCAUGUAAAACACACUUGCAUAUUGGUCAUCGUGGAAAAAGCACACUCAUUCUGAAAGCCCAAAAUAAAAGU
This 1401-nucleotide long non-coding RNA is filed under the name Monodelphis domestica (gray short-tailed opossum). RNAcentral describes it as "lncRNA (ENSMODG00000040725.1)". Lineage: Eukaryota; Metazoa; Chordata; Mammalia; Didelphimorphia; Didelphidae. The record is from RNAcentral.